Molecule: long non-coding RNA, 208 nt
Filed under: Nicotiana benthamiana
Lineage: Eukaryota; Viridiplantae; Streptophyta; Magnoliopsida; Solanales; Solanaceae
Description: long non-coding RNA (NBEN_LNC005359)
Source: RNAcentral
UCUUCUUUCUUCUCCUUCUCUGCUUCUGUGGCCCUUCAUCCUGUUGCACCUCCUUUUGACAUUCCCCAUUUUUAUGCCCAAACGAGUUACAUUAGAGACAAAGUGUUGGUUUCCAUUCAAAUUCAAUAUUCUGCAACCAGCUUCUUCCAUCUGGUAUCUCAAUAUAAAAUUCAUCAGGUAAAGGCUGGGUUAUGUCCAUUUCCACAAG